This 664-nucleotide ribosomal RNA is filed under the name Corynactis viridis. Its description in RNAcentral is "eukaryotic LSU rRNA". The stretch from base 1 to 281 matches the Rfam family "Eukaryotic large subunit ribosomal RNA", at positions 65 to 358 of the family's 3401-position model. The record is from RNAcentral. Lineage: Eukaryota; Metazoa; Cnidaria; Anthozoa; Corallimorpharia; Corallimorphidae.
CUAACAAGGAUUCCCCUAGUAACGGCGAGUGAAGCGGGAAGAGCUCAAAUUUGAAAUCUCCGUUGCUUGCACCGGCGAAUUGUAGUUUCGAGAAGCACUUUCUCGGCGGAUCGGACUUGCCUAAGUUGCUUGGAACAGCACGUCGCAGAGGGUGACAACCCCGUCUGUGGCGAGUCCGGCCGCUCACGAUGUGCUUUCGAAGAGUCGGGUUGUUUGGGAAUGCAGCCCAAAAUGGGUGGUAAACUCCACCUAAAGCUAAAUAUUGGCGCGAGACCGAUAGCGAAGGAAACGAAUGGAGUUAGCAAUGUGCCCCUUGAGAUUCAGCCGGUGCCGGCGUAGGCGCGGCAUUUGCGGAUCCGAACGGACCGCGGUGUUGCGGGCUUCGCUUCUCACCGUCGCACUUCUCUUGGGCGCGCGUCAACAUCGGUUGGUUUUGCACCUGGGUUUGAAAGGUGCCGGGAAGGUAGGUGCGGCCUUCCUUCGGGAAGUUUCGCACUGUUACAGCCCGGUUCUCUCAUGGCUCGGGACCGACCGAGGAGGAAGCUUUUAUCGGCUAUGCAGCGCAUGCCUCUUGUGGCUGGGGUCCCGUCGUUCCGGCCGGUCGUCGACCGUGGUGGACUGCUUGCAGUGCUCCGCGACCGCUGCCGGUGUUUGGUGGUGACGU